This 319-nucleotide long non-coding RNA is filed under the name Capsella rubella. RNAcentral describes it as "long non-coding RNA (CRUB_LNC001969)". The record is from RNAcentral. Lineage: Eukaryota; Viridiplantae; Streptophyta; Magnoliopsida; Brassicales; Brassicaceae.
AUUUACUAAUCAAGAUCCAUAAUUCCAUAUUAUAUAAACUCUAUUUAUCUACACUUGGUUCGAUUAAUAAGAAGGAAGGUUAUACUUAAUAUUCUGUUAAAAUUCAUCAUAGGUUUCAUGUAAAAAUCCUUCACUAAAUUUAUUUUAAAUACCAUUGAAUUCACUAGUAUGUAUACCAAAAAAAAAAAAAAUCAUGCUUUAAAAAAAAUUGAAACACACAAAAAGAUUCGUAAAUUAUGCUAACUUUGUAUCAAACAUUUUUUAGAAUUUUAUGUACUAGCUAGUUGUGAUAUUUUGUUUUAAUUGACCCUACUAAAAC